This 367-nucleotide ribosomal RNA is filed under the name uncultured bacterium. RNAcentral describes it as "partial 16S ribosomal RNA". It matches the Rfam family "Bacterial small subunit ribosomal RNA", at positions 338 to 702 of the family's 1533-position model. The record is from RNAcentral.
CCUACGGGUGGCAGCAGUGAGGAAUAUUGGUCAAUGGGCUUACGCCUGAACCAGCCAAGUCGCGUGAGGGAAGACUGCCCUAUGGGUUGUAAACCUCUUUUGUCAGGGAGCAAGUGGCGCUACGUGUAGCGUUAUCGAGAGGACCUGAAGAAAAAGCAGCGGCUAACUCCGGGCCAGCAGCCGCGGUAAUACGGAGGAUGCGAGCGCGAGCCGGAUUUAUUGGGUUUAAAGGGGGCGUAGGCGGAAUGCCAAGUCAGCGGUAAAAUCGCGGGGCUCAACCUCGCUCCGCCGUUGAAACUGGCGUUCUUGAGUGGGCGAGAAGUAUGCGGACUGCGUGGUGUCGCGGUGACCUGCAUAGAUAUCACGC